RNAcentral lists this long non-coding RNA (387 nucleotides) under Physcomitrium patens. RNAcentral's name for it is "long non-coding RNA (PPAT_LNC008171)". The record is from RNAcentral. Lineage: Eukaryota; Viridiplantae; Streptophyta; Bryopsida; Funariales; Funariaceae.
UUCUGACAUUAAAGCAACAACAAAUUUGAAAGGGUGUUGCAAGAAUGUAUAUUAAAUGCUGUCGUAUUACGUGCUUUCUUGCUCGAGAACGCACCAAGUGUCUGGCUGUAGGAGGUAGUAUGGAGAUUCGCCAAUAGUCAAGCAGUCUAUCAGUUUUUGACUGUUGGAAUAUAAACGACUGGAAGAAUACACCGUAAAUCUAUAUGGAUGUCCUUCGACUGCUCACCAAAGUCCUUUUUGUCCCAGUCGGUAGGUCUCUAGACGUUACAGAGAACCCCGAACAACCCAAUGUGCUAAUCUCUGAUACUGCUUUAUACUCACAAUCUUGUAUCCACUGACUGUCUCGUUAAAUUAACCCAAUAAAUUUCAUUCACUCCGCAUACUCAA